GGGCCUCCGGAAUCCCAGUGAAAGAACUUGUUUAAAGAAACAUCAGCUCGGUUUAUUUCAUACACAGCUACUUUUUGUAGAUACUGAGGUUUUGUUGAGAUGUUGGGGUGUACGUGCUGUGUGAGGUUUUGUUGCGAUGUUGGGGUGUGCGUGCCGUGUGAGGUUUUGUUGAGAUGUUGGGGUGUGUGUGCUGUGUGAGGUUUUGUUGAGAUGUUGGGGUGUGCGUGCCGUGUGAGGUUUUGUUGCGAUGUUGGGGUGUACGUGCCGUGUGAGGUUUUGUUGAGAUGUUGGGGUGUAUGUGCCGUGGGAGGUUUUGUUGAGAUGUUGGGUGUGUGCUGUGUGAGGUUUUGUUGAGAUGUUGGGGUGUGCCUGCUGUGUGAGGGCCGGCCUUGUUUCUGUUUACUGAUGCCUCC
RNAcentral lists this long non-coding RNA (413 nucleotides) under Pan troglodytes (chimpanzee). RNAcentral's name for it is "long non-coding RNA NONPTRT001961". Lineage: Eukaryota; Metazoa; Chordata; Mammalia; Primates; Hominidae. The record is from RNAcentral.